GCUGGGGUGGCCGAAUGGUUCAGGCGGUAGCCUGCAGAGCUGCUAUAUAUGGGUUCAAUUCCCAUCCCCAGCUCCA
Molecule: transfer RNA, 76 nt
Filed under: Candidatus Bathyarchaeota archaeon
Lineage: Archaea; Thermoproteati; Candidatus Bathyarchaeota
Also listed under: 3 other names
Description: tRNA-Cys
Rfam family: tRNA
About the family: Transfer RNA (tRNA) molecules are approximately 80 nucleotides in length. Their secondary structure includes four short double-helical elements and three loops (D, anti-codon, and T loops). Further hydrogen bonds mediate the characteristic L-shaped molecular structure. tRNAs have two regions of fundamental functional importance: the anti-codon, which is responsible for specific mRNA codon recognition, and the 3' end, to which the tRNAs corresponding amino acid is attached (by aminoacyl-tRNA synthetases). tRNAs cope with the degeneracy of the genetic code in two manners: having more than one tRNA (with a specific anti-codon) for a particular amino acid; and 'wobble' base-pairing, i.e. permitting non-standard base-pairing at the 3rd anti-codon position.
Source: RNAcentral